UAUUAGGUUGGUGCAAAAGUUAUUGCGGAUUUUGUCAUUCGUUUUAAUGGCAAAACCCGCAAUGACUUUUUUUAAUUAAUUAAU
RNAcentral lists this microRNA precursor (84 nucleotides) under Chlorocebus sabaeus (green monkey). Its description in RNAcentral is "miRNA (ENSCSAG00000024058.1)". Lineage: Eukaryota; Metazoa; Chordata; Mammalia; Primates; Cercopithecidae. The record is from RNAcentral.